GAGUUUGAUCAUGGCUCAGAUUGAACGCUGGCGGCAUGCCUUACACAUGCGAGGCGAACGGUAUAGGUAGCAAUACCUUGAGAGUGGCGAACGGGUGAGUAAUACAUCUGAACAUGCCCAACUGUGGGGGAUAACGUAGCGAAAGUUACUCUAAUACCGCAUACUAUCUAAGGAUGAAAGCGGGGGACCGUAAGGCCUCUCGCAGUUGGAGUGGCUGAUGUCAGAUUACCUAGUUGGUAGGGUAAAAUCCUACCAAGGCAACGAU
RNAcentral lists this ribosomal RNA (265 nucleotides) under uncultured bacterium. RNAcentral describes it as "partial 16S ribosomal RNA". It matches the Rfam family "Bacterial small subunit ribosomal RNA", at positions 9 to 280 of the family's 1533-position model. The record is from RNAcentral.